RNAcentral lists this ribosomal RNA (478 nucleotides) under uncultured bacterium. RNAcentral describes it as "partial 16S ribosomal RNA". It matches the Rfam family "Bacterial small subunit ribosomal RNA", at positions 28 to 507 of the family's 1533-position model. The record is from RNAcentral.
GAUUAACGCUGGCGGCGUGCAUAACACAUGCAAGUCGAACGAUGAAACUCAUUAGAUUUCUUCGGAAUGAAAAUGAAUGGAUUAGUGGCGAACGGGUGAGUAACGCGUGAGUAACCUGCCUUACACAAGGGGAUAGCCUCUGGAAACGGAGAAUAAUACCCUAUGAAACCAGACAAUCGCAUGAUAAUCUGGUCAAAAUGUUUAGUGGUGUAAGAUGGACUUGCGUCUGAUUAGCUAGUUGGUGAGAUAAAAGCUCACCAAGGCAACGAUCAGUAGCCGGCUUGAGAGAGUGUACGGCCACAUUGGGACUGAGACACGGCCCAGACUCCUACGGGAGGCAGCAGUGGGGAAUUUUGCACAAUGGGGGAAACCCUGAUGCAGCGACGCCGCGUGAUUUAGAAGGCCUUCGGGUUGUAAAAAUCUUUUGUAUAGGAAGAAAAUGACAGUACUAUACGAAUAAGGUCCGGCUAAGUACGUG